Molecule: ribosomal RNA, 1465 nt
Filed under: metagenome
Description: bacterial LSU rRNA
Rfam family: Bacterial large subunit ribosomal RNA
Source: RNAcentral
UUGACUCUGUGGAGGCGCGAACCGACUUCAGUUGAAAAUGGAGCGGAUGACCUGUGGAUAGGGGUGAAAGGCCAAUCAAACUCGGUGAUAGCUGGUUCUCCGCGAAAUGCAUUUAGGUGCAGCGUCGUGCGUUCAACGAUGGGGGUAGAGCACUGAAUGGGCUAGGGGUCCUACAAGACUACCGACCCCAAUCAAACUCCGAAUACCAUCGUUCCAGAGCACGGCAGUGAGACCUCGGGGGAUGAGCUUCGAGGUCGAGAGGGAAACAGCCCAGACCGCCGGCUAAGGUCCCAAAAUCUGAACUAAGUGGUAAACGAUGUGAGAUUGCGAAGACAGCCAGGAGGUUGGCUUGGAAGCAGCCAUCCUUGAAAGAGUGCGUAACAGCUCACUGGUCGAGUGAUCUUGCGCGGACAAUGUAACGGGGCUCAAGUUCAGUACCGAAGCCGCGGAUGCGACUCUUUGAGUCGUGUGGUAGCGGAGCGUCGAGCGUGCAGCGAAGCGGCGGGACAACCCAGCCGUGGAGCGCGUUCGAGUGCGAAUGUUGGCAUGAGUAGCGAAUGAGGGGUGAGAACCCCCUCCGCCGUAUGUCCAAGGGUUCCUGGGCGAGGCCAAUCCUCCCAGGGUGAGUCGGGAGCUAAGGCGAGGCCGAGAGGCGUAGUCGAUGCACAACUGGUUGAUAUUCCAGUACCACCAUGUUCGCGUCCGUCCCAAUACUCUGUUGCUAAGGGGCUGUGUUGACUUCGGUCAACGCGAACCGACCCACAUUGUUGCGGGAAGCUGUAGGGGGACGCAGGAAGGUAGAUGAACCCGGUGAAUGGUAGAACCGGGGUAAGCGUGUAGGAGGAGGACCAGGUAAAUCCGGGCCUCAUAAACUCUGAGACGUGAUACCGAGCCGCUUCAGGCGAAGUCAUUGAUCCUAUGCUGCCUAGAAAAGCCCAGCAGCGAGUUGACAUGGUGCCCGUACCCCAAACCAACACAGGUGGACAGGUAGAGCAUACCAAGGCGAGUGGGAUAACUAUGGUUAAGGAACUCGGCAAAUUGCCUCCGUAACUUCGGGAGAAGGAGGACCCCAGUAGCGUGAUGAGACUUGCUCUCUGAGCGUGAAGGGGUGGCACAAAAUUGAGGGAAGCGACUGUUUACCAAAAACACAGCAGCGUGCUAAGCCGUAAGGCGCUGUAUACGCUGUGACUCCUGCCCGGUGCUGGAAGGUUACGGGGAUGGGUUAGUCCUUCGGGACGAAGCUCUGAACCUAAGCCCCAGUAAACGGCGGCCGUAACUAUAACGGUCCUAAGGUAGCGAAAUUCCUUGUCGGGUAAGUUCCGACCUGCACGAAUGGAGUAACGACUUCCCUACUGUCUCAACCAUAGACCCAGCGAAAUUGAAGUACGAGUAAAGAUGCUCGUUAGCUGCAGAAGGACGGAAAGACCCCGUGGACCUUUACUAUAACUUGAUGUUGUGUUUUGCC